UACGUAGGGCGCAAGCGUUGUCCGGAAUUAUUGGGCGUAAAGAGCUCGUAGGCGGUUUGUCGCGUCUGUCGUGAAAGCUUGGGGCUUAACCCCAAGUCUGCGGUGGAUACGGGCAGACUAGAGGCAGGUAGGGGAGAACGGAAUUCCCGGUGUAGCGGUGAAAUGCGCAGAUAUCGGGAGGAACACCGGUGGCGAAGGCGGUUCUCUGGGAAUGACCUGACGCUGAGGAGCGAAAGUGUGGGGAGCGAACAGG
This 253-nucleotide ribosomal RNA is filed under the name uncultured bacterium. Its description in RNAcentral is "partial 16S ribosomal RNA". It matches the Rfam family "Bacterial small subunit ribosomal RNA", at positions 524 to 776 of the family's 1533-position model. The record is from RNAcentral.